CCUUUGAUUUUCGUUCUCUCCCCUUGCCUGAACUCAUACCCAAAUCCUCCCCCAAAUUUUCCUAUUCGCCCUAGUUGCUCACCAUCGACACCACUGCUGUUGAUGCGCUCAGCAACAAGUUCAGUAAAAUUUCCUCCCCUUUCGUAAAUUUUCCCGCGGUGAAAUCUUCCCUCAAAAUUUUGCCUGACCGUGCACUCCAACCACCCCCGCCACCGCUGCUGCAGCUCUCACCCAGCAAUAUGACGCACUCAUAUACCUCAUUCGUAAAUCCGAAAGAGCUUUGUUCAUGUCACUUCAUGGUUAAAAUUUGGAUUUCACGUACCAAACGCAAUCUUGGGAGAAAAAUUUUCGGAUGUCCGAAUUGAGGUACACAAGAUGAUUGUAAUUAUUUCAAGUAGGAAAACGAUCAUGUAGAGAUAUUAAACUUAGUAAACAAAGUGAAAGAAUUGGAGAAGAAAUUGAAUAAAUCGAAGAAAGAAGUGAAUGAAUUGAAGAAAUAAAUGAAGAAGAAAGUGAACGAAUCUAGUGGUGUCGAGAAGGAAGUGAAGCUCCAAGGAAAAUUGUUAAUAUUGUGGGUGGUUAUUUUUAUUGUUGUUCGAAUGUGGUUUUAAUGUUAUGUAGCUUAUGUGUAUAUGUAGCUUCUUUAAGCUUGUCUUUGGCUUAGUUUAUAAAUUGAGAGAUCGCAGUUCUCUA
Molecule: long non-coding RNA, 693 nt
Organism: Andrographis paniculata
Lineage: Eukaryota; Viridiplantae; Streptophyta; Magnoliopsida; Lamiales; Acanthaceae
Exons: 2
Source: RefSeq, a predicted model, not a curated record